CCUACGGUGGGCUGCAGUGAGGAAUAUUGGUCAAUGGACGAGAGUCUGAACCAGCCAAGUAGCGUGAAGGAUGACUGCCCUACGGGUUGUAAACUUCUUUUAUAAAGGAAUAAAGUGAGGCACGUGUGCCUUUUUGUAUGUACUUUAUGAAUAAGGAUCGGCUAACUCCGUGCCAGCAGCCGCGGUAAUACGGAGGAUCCGAGCGUUAUCCGGAUUUAUUGGGUUUAAAGGGAGCGUAGAUGGGUUGUUAAGUCAGUUGUGAAAGUUUGCGGCUCAACCGUAAAAUUGCAAUUGAUACUGGCAGCCUUGAGUACAGUUGAGGUAGACGGAAUUCGUGGUGUAGCGGUGAAAUGCAUAGAUAUCACGCAGAACUCCGAUUGCGAAGGCAGCAUACCGGCGCCCAACUGACGCUGAAGCACGAAAGCGUGGGUAUCGAACAGGAUUAGAUACCCCGGUAGUC
This 460-nucleotide ribosomal RNA is filed under the name uncultured bacterium. RNAcentral's name for it is "partial 16S ribosomal RNA". It matches the Rfam family "Bacterial small subunit ribosomal RNA", at positions 338 to 795 of the family's 1533-position model. The record is from RNAcentral.